UACGUAGGGGGCAAGCGUUGUCCGGAUUUAUUGGGCGUAAAGAGCGUGUAGGCGGUCUGGUAGGUCCGUUGUGAAAACUCGAGGCUCAACCUCGAGACGCCGAUGGAAACCAUCAGACUAGAGUCCGGAAGAGGAGUGUGGAAUUCCCGGUGUAGCGGUGAAAUGCGCAGAUAUCGGGAAGAACACCCGUGGCGAAGGCGGCACUCUGGGACGGUACUGACGCUGAGACGCGAAAGCGUGGGGAGCGAACAGG
This 253-nucleotide ribosomal RNA is filed under the name uncultured bacterium. Its description in RNAcentral is "partial 16S ribosomal RNA". It matches the Rfam family "Bacterial small subunit ribosomal RNA", at positions 524 to 776 of the family's 1533-position model. The record is from RNAcentral.